UAGGGAAUCUUCCACAAUGGACGAAAGUCUGAUGGAGCAACGCCGCGUGAGUGAAGAAGGGUUUCGGCUCGUAAAACUCUGUUGUUAAAGAAGAACAUAUCUGAGAGUAACUGUUCAGGUAUUGACGGUAUUUAACCAGAAAGCCACGGCUAACUACGUCGCA
RNAcentral lists this ribosomal RNA (163 nucleotides) under uncultured bacterium. RNAcentral's name for it is "partial 16S ribosomal RNA". It matches the Rfam family "Bacterial small subunit ribosomal RNA", at positions 355 to 510 of the family's 1533-position model. The record is from RNAcentral.